GGCAGGCUUACACAUGCAAGUCGAGCGCCCCGCAAGGGGAGCGGCAGACGGGUGAGUAACGCGUGGGAAUCUACCUUUUGCUACGGAAUAACUCAGGGAAACUUGUGCUAAUACCGUAUGUGCCCUUCGGGGGAAAGAUUUAUCGGCAAAGGAUGAGCCCGCGUUGGAUUAGCUAGUUGGUGGGGUAAAGGCCCACCAAGGCGACGAUCCAUAGCUGGUCUGAGAGGAUGAUCAGCCACACUGGGACUGAGACACGGCCCAGACUCCUACGGGAGGCAGCAGUGGGGAAUAUUGGACAAUGGGCGCAAGCCUGAUCCAGCCAUGCCGCGUGAGUGAUGAAGGCCCUAGGGUUGUAAAGCUCUUUCACCGGUGAAGAUAAUGACGGUAACCGGAGAAGAAGCCCCGGCUAACUUCGUGCCAGCAGCCGCGGUAAUACGAAGGGGGCUAGCGUUGUUCGGAUUUACUGGGCGUAAAGCGCACGUAGGCGGACUUUUAAGUCAGGGGUGAAAUCCCAGAGCUCAACUCUGGAACUGCCUUUGAUACUGGAAGUCUUGAGUAUGGUAGAGGUGAGUGGAAUUCCGAGUGUAGAGGUGAAAUUCGUAGAUAUUCGGAGGAACACCAGUGGCGAAGGCGCUCAUGGACAUUACUGACCUAGUGCGAAGGUGGGACAACAGAAUAAACCCUGGAUCCAC
RNAcentral lists this ribosomal RNA (692 nucleotides) under Brucella lupini. RNAcentral describes it as "bacterial SSU rRNA". It matches the Rfam family "Bacterial small subunit ribosomal RNA", at positions 41 to 800 of the family's 1533-position model. The record is from RNAcentral. Lineage: Bacteria; Pseudomonadati; Pseudomonadota; Alphaproteobacteria; Hyphomicrobiales; Brucellaceae.